GAUGAAGAACGCAGCGAAAUGCGAUAUGUAAUGUGAAUUGCAGAAUUCAGUGAAUCAUCGAGUCUUUGAACGCACAUUGCGCCCUCUGGUAUUCCGGAGGGCAUGCCUGUCCGAGCGUCAUUGCUGCCCUCAAGCACGGCUUGUGUGUUGGGCUCCGUCCCCCGAUCCCGGGGGACGGGCCCGAAAGGCAGCGGCGGCACCGCGUCCGGUCCUCGAGCGUAUGGGGCUUUGUCACCCGCUCUGUAGGCCCGGCCGGCGCUUGCCGAUCAACCAAAUUUUUAUCCAGGUUGACCUCGGAUCAGGUAGGGAUACCCGCUGAACUUAAGCAUAUCAAUAAGCGGAGGA
RNAcentral lists this unclassified non-coding RNA (345 nucleotides) under soil metagenome. RNAcentral's name for it is "partial contains 5.8S ribosomal RNA, internal transcribed spacer 2, and large subunit ribosomal RNA". The stretch from base 1 to 120 matches the Rfam family "5.8S ribosomal RNA", at positions 35 to 154 of the family's 154-position model. The record is from RNAcentral.